GGAGGGAUGGCCGAGUGGUCGAAGGCGGCGGUCUUGAAAACCGCAGACCCGUUAAGGGUCCGGGGGUUCGAAUCCCUCUCCCUCCGCCA
RNAcentral lists this transfer RNA (89 nucleotides) under Pseudomonadota bacterium. RNAcentral describes it as "tRNA-Ser". It matches the Rfam family "tRNA". From Rfam's summary of the family: Transfer RNA (tRNA) molecules are approximately 80 nucleotides in length. Their secondary structure includes four short double-helical elements and three loops (D, anti-codon, and T loops). Lineage: Bacteria; Pseudomonadati; Pseudomonadota. The record is from RNAcentral. RNAcentral also lists the same sequence under 1 other name.